Molecule: ribosomal RNA, 555 nt
Filed under: Microbacterium arborescens
Lineage: Bacteria; Bacillati; Actinomycetota; Actinomycetes; Micrococcales; Microbacteriaceae
Description: bacterial SSU rRNA
Rfam family: Bacterial small subunit ribosomal RNA
Source: RNAcentral
GGCGUCUAAUACCGGAUACGAGCUGCGACCGCAUGGUCAGUAGCUGGAAAGAAUUUCGGUCAGGGAUGAGCUCGCGGCCUAUCAGCUUGUUGGUGAGGUAAUGGCUCACCAAGGCGUCGACGGGUAGCCGGCCUGAGAGGGUGACCGGCCACACUGGGACUGAGACACGGCCCAGACUCCUACGGGAGGCAGCAGUGGGGAAUAUUGCACAAUGGGCGAAAGCCUGAUGCAGCAACGCCGCGUGAGGGAUGACGGCCUUCGGGUUGUAAACCUCUUUUAGCAGGGAAGAAGCGAAAGUGACGGUACCUGCAGAAAAAGCGCCGGCUAACUACGUGCCAGCAGCCGCGGUAAUACGUAGGGCGCAAGCGUUAUCCGGAAUUAUUGGGCGUAAAGAGCUCGUAGGCGGUCUGUCGCGUCUGCUGUGAAAACCCGAGGCUCAACCUCGGGCCUGCAGUGGGUACGGGCAGACUAGAGUGCGGUAGGGGAGAUUGGAAUUCCUGGUGUAGCGGUGGAAUGCGCAGAUAUCAGGAGGAACACCGAUGGCGAAGGCAGAUC